This 497-nucleotide ribosomal RNA is filed under the name uncultured bacterium. RNAcentral describes it as "partial 16S ribosomal RNA". It matches the Rfam family "Bacterial small subunit ribosomal RNA", at positions 28 to 507 of the family's 1533-position model. The record is from RNAcentral.
GAUGAACGCUGGCGGCGUGCCUAAUACAUGCAAGUCGAGCGAACGGACGAGAAGCUUGCUUCUCUGAUGUUAGCGGCGGACGGGUGGGUAACACGUGGAUAACCUACCUAUAAGACUGGGAUAACUUCGGGAAACCGGAGCUAAUACCGGAUAAUAUUUUGAACCGCAUGGUUCAAAAGUGAAAGACGGUCUUGCUGUCACUUAUAGAUGGAUCCGCGCUGCAUUAGCUAGUUGGUAAGGUAACGGCUUACCAAGGCAACGAUGCAUAGCCGACCUGAGAGGGUGAUCGCCCACACGGGAACUGAGACACGGUCCAGACUCCUACGGGAGGCAGCAGUAGGGAAUCUUCCGAAAUGGGCGAAAGCCUGACGGAGCAACGCCGCGUGAGUGAUGAAGGUCUUCGGAUCGUAAAACUCUGUUAUUAGGGAAGAACAUAUGUGUAAGUAACUGUGCACAUCUUGACGGUACCUAAUCAGAAAGCCACGGCUAACUACGUG